RNAcentral lists this ribosomal RNA (1209 nucleotides) under Triticum aestivum (bread wheat). Its description in RNAcentral is "partial small subunit ribosomal RNA". The record is from RNAcentral. Lineage: Eukaryota; Viridiplantae; Streptophyta; Magnoliopsida; Poales; Poaceae.
AUGGAUGUUAAGACUGCUUUCCUAAAUGGAGAGUUGGACGAGGAAAUUUAUAUGGAACAACCAGAUGGGUUUGUACUAGAUGGUCAGGAAGAGAAAGUGUGCAAGUUGCUGAAGUCUUUGUACGGACUUAAGCAAGCACCCAAACAGUGGCAUGAGAAGUUUGAAAGAACUUUAACAGCUGCAGGCUUUGUUGUGAACAAAGCCGACAAAUGUGUGUACUAUCGCCAUGGUGGGGGUGAGGAAGUUAUCCUGUGCUUGUAUGUCGAUGACAUACUGAUUUUCGGAACAAAUCUGAAAGUUAUUAAGCAGGUCAAGGAUUUCCUAUCUCGUUGUUUUGAGAUGAAGGAUUUAGGAGUGGUUGAUGUCAUUCUGAACAUCAAGUUGUUGAGAGACGAUGAUGGUGGGAUUACUUUGCUUCAAUCUCACUAUGUGGAAAAGAUCUUGAGUCGCUUUGGCUAUAGUGACUGCAAGCCCUCUCCAACACCAUAUGAUGCUAGUGUGUUGCUUAGAAAGAAUCGAAGAAUUGCUAGAGACCAAUUGAAGUAUUCUCAGAUUAUUGGCUUGCUUAUGUACUUAGCCAGUGCUACAAGACCUGACAUCUCUUUUGCUGUUAGCAAACUGAGUCGGUUUGUUUCAAAACCAGGAGAUGUGCAUUGGAAAGCUCUAGAAAGAGUUUUGCGUUAUUUGAAAGGCACUGCAAAUUAUGGAAUUCACUACACCGGGCAUCCAAAGGUGCUUGAAGGGUAUAGUGACUCAAACUGGAUCUCAGAUGCUGAUGAGAUAAAGGCCAUGAGCGCUUAUGUAUUCACUCAUGGAGGUGGCACUGUUUCUCGGAAGUCUUGUAAGCAGACCAUCUUAACGAGGUCAACAAUGGAAGCAGAACUCAUAGCACUAGAUACAGCUACGGUCGAAGCAGAUUGGCUUCGUCAGCUCUUGAAUGACUUACCGGUUGUUGAGAAACCUGUACCGGGUAUCCUUAUGAACUGCGACAAUCAAACUGUGAUCACGAAAGUGAGAAGCUCAAAGGAUAACAUGAAGUCAUCAAGACACGUUCAGAGAAGGUUAAAGUCUGUCAGAAAAAUGAAAAACUCCGGAGUUAUUCCAUUGGAUUAUAUCCAAACGUCUAAAAAUCUGGCAGAUCCUUUUACUAAGGGUCUAUCAUGUAAUGUGAUAGAUAAUGCAUCGAGGGAGAUGGGUAUGAGACCCACA